CCUACGGGGAGUAGCAGUGGGGAAUCUUGCACAAUGGGCGAAAGCCUGAUGCAGUGACGCCGCGUGGGCGAAGAAGGCCUUUGGGCCGUAAAGCCCUGUCGGGAGGGAAGAAGGAAGCGACGGUACCUCACAAGGAAGCCCCGGCAAACUACGUGCCAGCAGCCGCAGUAAAACGGGGGGGGCGGGCGUUAUCCGGAAUCAGUGGGCGUAAAGGGUGCGUAGGCGGCCUUAUAAGCAGGGGGUCAAAGGCGGUGGCCAACCCACCGUUCGCCCGGCGAACUGGAGGGCUAGAGUGUCGGAGAGGGAGGCGGAAUUCCUAGUGUAGCGGUGAAAUGCGUAGAUAUUAGGAGGAACACCAGUGGCGAAGGCGGCUUCCUGGACGAAGACUGACGUUGAGGCACGAAGGCGUGGGGAGCGAACAGGAUUAGAUACCCGAGUAGUC
RNAcentral lists this ribosomal RNA (442 nucleotides) under uncultured bacterium. RNAcentral describes it as "partial 16S ribosomal RNA". It matches the Rfam family "Bacterial small subunit ribosomal RNA", at positions 338 to 795 of the family's 1533-position model. The record is from RNAcentral.